AGAAACCUCCAUUGAAGCAACCUUUCUUGUUCAUGGUCAUCUGCCUAGUUCGGCUGGAAUUCGAGAUUGAAGGUAUAGUUUUCGACUUGCUAGUCGCUUUCUUGUUCGCUUUCUUCGUCGUCUGUUGUCACGACCGGACCUAAUUAAGGAUAAUUAAGCCGGGAAACCGUGACUAAUGGAGGGAUAUUAGAAGCGGGGUAGAAAGGGGUUAAUUCAUCUUCUUUUUUUUUACCAGAAAUCCAUUAUUUCAAAAAAAACAAAAAAAAUGGUACUUUUUAUGGUUGUUUUACCCUAGUUUUGUUUGUUGAUUUUUCUGGAUCUAUUUUGAGGAAUCAUUUAUAACACUGAGUAAAAAUAAUGAUUGUCGUGCCUUAUUUGAGCGUAAUAUCUAUGAAACACAAUGGUCCUCCAUGAACAAAUCGAUAUCCAUAAAGGUUUUAUCUUGUGUAAUGCUUUUAUUGUUUUUACUUUAAAGUGUCAUUUUUAUGGUUUUCUUGUUUAUAUUCCACAUCAUCUUUUCGAAUGUACAAGUUUUAGAAGUUGUGUUCGAGCCACUAUAUGUGGUCAUUCAUGAACAUAAGAGAUGGCUUUUUGUUUACAUGAACAUUCAUAAAAAUUUUGUUUUAUGAAUUGGAGUUUAUGUAAAAAAUUAUAUUCAUAUUCUGAAAUUUGGUUGUGUUCAGCUUCUGUAUUUUUCAUUUAUAUAUUUUGGGGUUUUGUUGAUGUUUGAAAUUGUUCAGUGAUUAUUCAGUUGUUGUUCAUAUGCUUAAUCUACAUAUCAUUUGUAUGUUCAUAUGCCUUAAUAUUGUUGUUCGUAAGAUGUACUCCCUCUGUCCGCCAAAAGUAUUUCACAAUUACUAUAUUUGGCGUCCGCAAAAAGUAUUCCACUUUCCUUUUUAAGUCAUGGUCCCACCAUCCACCUUUAUAUUUUAUCCUUACAAACACUCUUUAUUUACAAAAAAUCACCUCAAAUUCAAUCUCAACCACACAUUUCAUAAAGUGGUGGGACCCUUUCUCCACUACAUCAACAUCAUCUCUAAUUUUAUUAAACUCCGUGCCCAGCCAAAGUGGAAUACUUUUGGCGGACGGAGGGAGUAUUAUUUAAUAAUAAUAUUUUGAUGUGCUAAUAACUUUUUGAAUUUAUUCAUUAUGUGUUGAUUCUCAUUUCUUACUAUGUGCAUUGUUUGAUAAUAGUCUUAAUUAACUUAUAGAUCAUUGAACAAUUCGCUUGAAUAUGAAGACCGUCUAUGGAUUCACGUGGAAGAGAGCUAUGAGAUUACAAUCUUGUGCAUCGAUUGUAUUUUGUGACUACAACUGUGUCAAAGAAGAUGUUAUAUAGUCCGCAGAUGUGCAUUAUCGCGAACUGUGCAUGGAUCGAAAGUUCAAGGCUAAUUUAGUUUUGUUAGG
RNAcentral lists this long non-coding RNA (1407 nucleotides) under Salvia miltiorrhiza (redroot sage). Its description in RNAcentral is "long non-coding RNA (SMIL_LNC011577)". Lineage: Eukaryota; Viridiplantae; Streptophyta; Magnoliopsida; Lamiales; Lamiaceae. The record is from RNAcentral.